RNAcentral lists this ribosomal RNA (253 nucleotides) under uncultured bacterium. Its description in RNAcentral is "partial 16S ribosomal RNA". It matches the Rfam family "Bacterial small subunit ribosomal RNA", at positions 524 to 776 of the family's 1533-position model. The record is from RNAcentral.
UACGUAUGGUGCAAGCGUUAUCCGGAUUUACUGGGCGUAAAGGGAGCGCAGGCGGCGCGCCAAGUCUGAUGUGAAACCCCGGGGCUCAACCCCGGGCAUGCAUUGGAAACUGGCGGGCUGGAGUGCCGGAGGGGUAAGCGGAAUUCCUAGUGUAGCGGUGAAAUGCGUAGAUAUUAGGAGGAACACCAGUGGCGAAGGCGGCUUACUGGACGGCAACUGACGCUGAGGCUCGAAAGCGUGGGGAGCAAACAGG